GCAGCUUCCGGUUCCGGUGCGUGGCCGUCGCGUCGCCCGCUGCCCCCACCCGUCCUGACGCGCGCUCCAUCUACGCCGCCAGCGGGGCGCGGGGCCGGGGGGGUGAGUUAUUUUCAGGCCUUUGAAGCCGCGUGCCGGAGGCCCCGAGGUCUUGGGCCGUGGGCGACCUGGGCCACCGCGCGGGCCGGGCGCUUAGGGAGGGCAGCGCGUCCUGCGCCCAGAACCGGCUCGCCCCAGCUAGACGAGGCUGACUCGGUCCUCCCAGGGGGCCGGCCGCAGGCGGGUCCCGGCGUCCAGACGCAAGCUCGCUCCCCAGGGUCUCUGCUCCCCCCCGGUGGCCCGGCCCCACCACCGUUUCCUUUCUCUGAACCCGAAGCCUCCUCGCUGAGCUCCACCCCUGUCCUUUUUUAUUUUUCAUUUUGAGACAGGGUCUCGCAAAGACGAAGUUGCCAGGCUGAGGGUCGGGGAUGUAGCUCAGUGGUUCCACCGCCUGCCUCGCCAGCGCAAGGUCCCGAGUUCGAUCCCCGGUACCAAAAAAAAAAUUGCCAGGCGGGGCUUAAACUUGCGAUCCUACUGCCUCAGCCUCCCAGAGUGCUGGCAUCAAGGCGGCGCCCCCACCCCCAGUUCCGCGUUUUGGAUGAAAAUUUCUGCCCGUCUGUUGUUUUUGAGGACGUCUGUCUGCAAGACUGGGUUUGUCUGUGUGCAGUCCUGGAUUCUGGGCCAGAGCAGCGCCCACCGCCUGGGUCUUGCUGAGCAGCGCAGUCUGGGAGUCGCUCAGCGAACAAGCCGGGCGCAGGCUCGACCUGGGCUGGGUCAGCUGAUCCCGGGCGCUGUCCAGCACGCUGACCUCACCGAGGGGACAGACAGCAGGGCUAAAGGACAGGUCUCACCAGGUUGCGCAGACUGGCCUCAACCACACGAUCCUCCUGCCUCAGCCUCCUCCUGGGCAGUUGCAGAUACAGGCAUGUAUGACGAGUGACUUCUGAUGUUGAACAGUGUUCCCCGAGAGCCCAGCUAGCACACUGGGG
This 1028-nucleotide long non-coding RNA is filed under the name Heterocephalus glaber (naked mole-rat). RNAcentral's name for it is "lncRNA (ENSHGLG00000038085.1)". Lineage: Eukaryota; Metazoa; Chordata; Mammalia; Rodentia; Bathyergidae. The record is from RNAcentral.